Molecule: long non-coding RNA, 1421 nt
Organism: Paramisgurnus dabryanus
Lineage: Eukaryota; Metazoa; Chordata; Actinopteri; Cypriniformes; Cobitidae
Source: RefSeq, a predicted model, not a curated record
GAUGUCAACAAAUUCAUGCUAUUGGGAGAUUGGGCAGGUCGUUCAUUGCUCAGCAUCCGGUCGGUGACUGACCAGACGAUUUGCCUAUAACUGGAGGCUGCAGAAGGUGUCACCUUCAUCGGACCUGACACACAUGCUACUCAAACCAUAGGAGACAAGAUCAGGGGCAAAUUAAUCGUCAAGAUGCCAAGGCCGGCGGCGUGCCCCCGCACACAUGGACCGGUCAAGGACUGGAUAGUGAAUCAGUAGACAUGCCCUGGUUGCCUCCCAACAAUUCCCCCAGCUGUCGACUGCUGAAGACCACCUCACCAGUGCUUUGUGGCCUUUCAUGUUUCUUAAGUCCUGGGCUAUGUUAGCAUAAUGCUAAUGCGAUAUUUGUUUGGUCUUCUGAGCCACUCUGGAGGUCUUUGUAAGGUGGACGUUUGACGGGAGAGGCGUGGAUGUGUCCAGCCAGUGGAACCUGGCGUCUGCUUGAAUGCCCGUCAACAGCGACGUCUUUGUCUAAGCAUAAAUUGAAGUGGUACCUUCCGCCAAGGGUUGGUGACCACAGGGAUGAAGGGAAGAAGUCGCAGGGGCCCUGGACCACACAUCCUCCAUGCAAGUAGCCAUAGAUGCCCAUGCUGACAAAGCUGCCUCUAUUCUCUCUGUCCCACCUCUCAUCUAUUCCAAAUGUUUACAUUUCCCACGUAACAUUUGCAUGCAUUUAUCCAAAGCAACUUGCAGUGCAUUCAAGGUAUACAUUUUAGCAGUAUGUGUGUUCACUGCUUGCUACUGUAUAGUGUAGUAUAUUAGGCAGCUAACAUCUUUUGAAAUUACAAAUUACAUUUUGAUCCCAGAUUUUCAAUAACCUGAGUUAAAUUAAAUAUUUAUGCAAAGUUUUAGCGUCAUUUUUAAAUUGUCAACAAAAACUGUUGCAAAAUGGCGGCAAUAUUUUGCGACUAAAUCAUAAUUUUGUUCUCUCGCAAUAAGUAUUUUGAAAAACCAAGGCAACGGGGGUGUUUGACUUUAUAUAGCACUGCGCAGACAGACAUCCAGAUGACAUCAAAAUACAGCGACAGUAGCUGAGUUUACAUCCAAACGUGAUGCGAAUCUUUUCAAAAUUCGUAAAAAAAGAAAAACAAUGAAAUGCGAAUUAGGUGCGUUUCCGUCAAGUUGUUUUGAGCGAAUGAUGGUAACCUAGUAACCAACAGGAAACAAAACAAUGUACGCGUGGAAAAUGGAGAGAGGACUGCAUGUAGUCACGAUGGGUCAAUUUAUUAAUGUAUUUCCCGUGCAGCUUGUAAUUCCCAAAUUGAAUGCUGUGAACUAAAGAAGAAAUGCAGACUUUUUAUGAAGGCACUAGCAGCAAGGACAUUGCGAUGACGACGAGCCCCAUAUAUGGUAAAGACAACUCCAGCGUAAACAGCUAGAAGGUUAUGCUG